RNAcentral lists this long non-coding RNA (213 nucleotides) under Brassica rapa (field mustard). RNAcentral describes it as "long non-coding RNA (BRAP_LNC007892)". Lineage: Eukaryota; Viridiplantae; Streptophyta; Magnoliopsida; Brassicales; Brassicaceae. The record is from RNAcentral.
UGAUAAUUAGAGAUCUACCCGUGGCACUAUACACUUUUUCAAAAUUCCACUAAUAUCCCUAUACUUCUAAUCUUCUAGGCUCUCUCCAAAUAUUCUCCUGAGAUAUGAUGUCAGAAAAUUCAGACGGUGGGACCACUUGUUUAAUCUAUUAACUUAGUCAAUUAUCUUAUUUCACAUUAUAGGUGAAACAAAAAUAUCUCUGUCAAAGGAGAG